This 700-nucleotide unclassified non-coding RNA is filed under the name Rhodobium orientis. RNAcentral describes it as "partial miscellaneous RNA". The stretch from base 195 to 268 matches the Rfam family "tRNA". Lineage: Bacteria; Pseudomonadati; Pseudomonadota; Alphaproteobacteria; Hyphomicrobiales; Rhodobiaceae. The record is from RNAcentral.
AAGGAAGAUCCCCAACGCACGUCUCACAUCGAGGCCUCUGUGUUCCGGAUCUGCUUGGAACAUGGCCGGAUCUACCCCGAUACCGGCCGCUUAAAUAAGCGCGGGACACCGCCGUCUUCGUUUCUCUUUCUUCUCGGACGUGUGGGGUGCGCUCGAUCAAGUCGCCACAAUGGCUGUCGUCGGCCCUUUUCAAAGGGCCCGUAGCUCAGGUGGUUAGAGCGCACGCCUGAUAAGCGUGAGGUCGGUGGUUCGAGUCCACCCGGGCCCACCAUUUCCUGCCGACCCGAAUUCGGGGCCAUAGCUCAGUUGGGAGAGCGCCUGCUUUGCAAGCAGGAGGUCGUCGGUUCGAUCCCGUCUGGCUCCACCAAGGCCAGGCGCGCGGAUCGCCCAUCAAGACCCUAUGGCACGGCAUCGUCCGAGAGAUAAAAGUUUCGCGUCUGCGGCAUCGCCGCGGCGCGUGUUCCUGAACAUCGUGAAGAGAAGGUUUGUCCGAGUGCGCCCAUCCGGGUGCAUGUCGCACGGACGCUGGUGCUUGACCGCACCGGUAUCGGGCAAAACCUCGUGUAAAACAAACUGGUCUUUCUGACCAUGUUCGGUUGGCCCCUCGGGGUCAAACGGGCAUUGGAAAUGAGAGUGAUCAAGUGUCUUAAGGGCAUUCGGUGGAUGCCUUGGCGCUGAGAGGCGAUGAAAGGGACCGUGG